RNAcentral lists this ribosomal RNA (462 nucleotides) under uncultured bacterium. Its description in RNAcentral is "partial 16S ribosomal RNA". It matches the Rfam family "Bacterial small subunit ribosomal RNA", at positions 28 to 507 of the family's 1533-position model. The record is from RNAcentral.
GACGAACGCUGGCGGCGUGCUUAACACAUGCAAGUCGAACGGAAAGGCCCUUCGGGGUACUCCAGUGGCGAACGGGGUAGUAACACGUGGGUGAUCUGCCCUGCACCUUGUUAUAAGCCUGGGAAACUGGGUCGAAUACCGAAUAGGACCACGCGCUUCAUUGUGUGUGGUGGAAAGCUGUUGCGGUGUCGGAUGGGCCCGCGGCCGAUCAUCUUGUUGGUGGGAUAAGGGCCGACCAAGGCGACGACGGGUAGCCGGCCUGGGAGGGUGACCGGCCACACUGGGACUGAGAUAGGCAGCAGACGGAUAUGGGAGACAGCGGGGGCGAGCAUUAUCCAGUGGGACCGCGCGUGAUGAAGAGACCUGGGGGGAGGGAUGACGGCUUGUGGGUAGUGAAAAGCUGUAAAUAAGGACGCCGCGGAAGUGACGGUACCUAAAGAAGAAGCACCGGCUAACUACGUG